GUCUUCAAUAGAAUCUUCUUCGAAUCACAAUCAACUUUGUUGAACAUAGAAAAACUGCUUCUAAUAAUCCUUUGAGAAAUUAAUUGGAUUGGGUCAUCAAUGUACUUCCAUUACCGGUUCUGAGAAUCUGGUAUUUGAAAGCCCGGUGUUUGUCUUGUAAUCUGUCAGCAUGAUCUGUCUCAACUAAAUGUUAAUCUGAUUUGUCUUGGAGUAGAAUAAUUAAAAAGGUUACGGGACACUUGAUUAUUUAAACUAAGUUUAAAUUAUAAAGAAAAUAAAUUUAAAAAUAAGUUUUAAAAGACGAAAGAAAAUAAAGUAUAAAAUAAACUUAGUUAAAUCUAUAAAGUAAAUUUAAUUAUAUUUAAAAAAUAAAUUCAAAUAAAUUCAUAAUAAACUGAAUAAGUUUAGAAUAAAUUUAUUUCAAA
Molecule: long non-coding RNA, 425 nt
Filed under: Daucus carota (carrot)
Lineage: Eukaryota; Viridiplantae; Streptophyta; Magnoliopsida; Apiales; Apiaceae
Description: long non-coding RNA (DCAR_LNC007293)
Source: RNAcentral